Molecule: small nucleolar RNA, 104 nt
Organism: Pistacia vera
Lineage: Eukaryota; Viridiplantae; Streptophyta; Magnoliopsida; Sapindales; Anacardiaceae
Source: RefSeq, a predicted model, not a curated record
AACCCAUGGUGUGUACAUUUCCUCAUCAAUUCCUUGUACCUCUCCCAAGCCUAUACAAUGACUCGGUCCUCUUGUAGAAAUGAUUUGAUAUCAUUUCUCAGGUU